RNAcentral lists this transfer RNA (74 nucleotides) under Candidatus Wolfebacteria bacterium RIFCSPLOWO2_01_FULL_38_11. RNAcentral describes it as "tRNA-Trp". It matches the Rfam family "tRNA". Rfam says of the family: Transfer RNA (tRNA) molecules are approximately 80 nucleotides in length. Their secondary structure includes four short double-helical elements and three loops (D, anti-codon, and T loops). The record is from RNAcentral. Lineage: Bacteria; Candidatus Wolfeibacteriota.
GGGAGUGUCGUCCAAUGGCAGGACUCUGGUCUCCAAAACCAGGUAUCCAAGUUCGAAUCUUGGCAUUCCCGCAA